RNAcentral lists this ribosomal RNA (715 nucleotides) under Latilactobacillus sakei. RNAcentral describes it as "bacterial SSU rRNA". It matches the Rfam family "Bacterial small subunit ribosomal RNA", at positions 64 to 738 of the family's 1533-position model. Lineage: Bacteria; Bacillati; Bacillota; Bacilli; Lactobacillales; Lactobacillaceae. The record is from RNAcentral.
GAACGCACUCUCGUUUAGAUUGAAGGAGCUUGCUCCUGAUUGAUAAACAUUUGAGUGAGUGGCGGACGGGUGAGUAACACGUGGGUAACCUGCCCUAAAGUGGGGGAUAACAUUUGGAAACAGAUGCUAAUACCGCAUAAAACCUAACACCGCAUGGUGUAGGGUUGAAAGAUGGUUUCGGCUAUCACUUUAGGAUGGACCCGCGGUGCAUUAGUUAGUUGGUGAGGUAAAGGCUCACCAAGACCGUGAUGCAUAGCCGACCUGAGAGGGUAAUCGGCCACACUGGGACUGAGACACGGCCCAGACUCCUACGGGAGGCAGCAGUAGGGAAUCUUCCACAAUGGACGAAAGUCUGAUGGAGCAACGCCGCGUGAGUGAAGAAGGUUUUCGGAUCGUAAAACUCUGUUGUUGGAGAAGAAUGUAUCUGAUAGUAACUGAUCAGGUAGUGACGGUAUCCAACCACAAAGCCACGGCUAACUACGUGCCAGCAGCCGCGGUAAUACGUAGGUGGCAAGCGUUGUCCGGAUUUAUUGGGCGUAAAGCGAGCGCAGGCGGUUUCUUAAGUCUCAUGUGAAAGCCUUCGGCUCAACCGAAGAAGUGCAUCGGAAACUGGGAAACUUGAGUGCAGAAAAGGACAGUGGAACUCCAUGUGUAGCGGUGAAAUGCGUAGAUAUAUGGAAGAACACCAGUGGCGAAGGCGGCUGUCUGGUCUGUA